UUUCCGUAGGUGAACCUGCGGAAGGAUCAUUAGAGAAGUUAAAGGUCCCCUCUACUAGGAUUGUAGCUGGCCGGAGACGGCAAGUGCUCGUCCGAAUGGGACGGACUACUUCACUACCAACCCCACUGUGAACCAAGCGGGAGGUCGAAAGGCCUCUUGCAUAUACCAUAUACCCCAAUGUAUGUCCUAGAAUGUCAUAGCGUUAAUUCGCAAAUAUACAACUUUCAACAACGGAUCUCUUGGCUCUUGCAUCGAUGAAGAACGCAGC
RNAcentral lists this unclassified non-coding RNA (268 nucleotides) under uncultured fungus. Its description in RNAcentral is "sequence contains ITS1, 5.8S rRNA gene". The stretch from base 220 to 268 matches the Rfam family "5.8S ribosomal RNA", at positions 1 to 49 of the family's 154-position model. The record is from RNAcentral. Lineage: Eukaryota; Fungi.